UCCAUGGGAACCCUGGUGUUCUUCUGUCCAAGAUUAUCUCCAACUACCUCCAGGGAUCCAUUGGAGAAAGACACCAGUUUUUGAGCCAACUACUACAAUUCUUAUAAUGUGGAUACCAUUGUGUCUUAAAGUGAUGGAUUAGAGACUUUAAGCAUGCUUCAGCCACAUGGACAUAGCACAAUAGUGCAUAAAUGUCAACUCUCUGAGCUUUAAUUUAAGAAGAAGAAUAGGAAUCCACCAGAAUCAUGUAGGAGACACCAGAUCCAGGGAAGGAGAAUGGAGACAAACUGCCCCCAUGAUGGCAUCCAACUAAUAAAAUAGGGAAGGGAUUUCACUAUAUUGCCAGGUGGAUCUUGAACUCUUGAUCUCAAGUGAUUCACCUGCCUUGGCCUCCCGAACUGCUGGGAUUACAGACAAACAGGGAGCCAAAUCAUGAGUGAACUCCCAUUCACAAUUGCUUCAAAGAGAAUAAAAUACCUAGGAAUCCAACUUACAAGGGAUGUGAAGGACCUCUUCAAGGAGAACUACAAAACACUGCUCAAGGAAAUAAAAGAGGAUACAAACAAAUGGAAGAACAUUCCAUGCUCAUGGGUAGGAAGAAUCAAUAUCGUGAAAAUGGCCAUACUGCCCAAGAUUCAAUGCCAUCCCCAUCAAGCUACCAAUGACUUUCCUCACAGAAUUGGAAAAAUCUACUUUAAAUUUCAUGUAGAACCAAAAAAAAAGCCUGCAUCACCAAGUCAACCCUAAGCCAAAAGAACAAAGCUGGAGGCAUCCCGCUACCUGACUUCAAACUAUACUACAAGGCUACAGUAACCAAAACAGCAUGGUACUGGUACCAAAACAGAGAUAUAGAUCAAUGGAACAGAACAGAGCCAUCAGAAAUAAUG
This is a long non-coding RNA of Pongo pygmaeus (Bornean orangutan), 887 nucleotides long. RefSeq lists it as uncharacterized. Lineage: Eukaryota; Metazoa; Chordata; Mammalia; Primates; Hominidae. The transcript is spliced from 4 exons. The record is from RefSeq and is a predicted model, not a curated record.